CUGUGUAAAUCCUGGAUCCACCAUUUACCAGCUGUGUAACCCUGGACAACAAUUCCAUCUUUCUGACCUCAGUGUCUUUCUCUGCAAAACAGGGGUAAGAAUAAUCCUACUUCAAUAGAGCUGCUGUGAGGAUUCACUGAGAUAAUGUGUACAAAGUUCCUACAAUAGUACUGAACCCACAGCCAUGGAUUCAAGACCACUAACUUAUAAUCAGUGAUAUCCAAGAGGAUGGGAAGAGAAUAUUAAGCCUGGUGCUCUGCAAAUUAAUACUUGGAGCUUAAAAAUACGCUGGACAUGUGACAAUGGUGCUGAGUACUUUGGGGGAAGAUCACAACAGUCCUGGUAGCAGUGUUACAGCAAAAUAUUUCAGAGGUACCAGAUGAGCUAGCUCCAAGGCAAAUGAGGCAAUAUUAUGUUUAACUGUUUGUUCGGAAACUUCUUUUAUUAAAAAAGAUUUUAAAUAUUAAUGCUAUUUUCAAUACAGGUGUGAUAACACUCAAUAAAGCAUAGUGUACUUGAUAU
This 522-nucleotide non-coding RNA is filed under the name Pongo abelii (Sumatran orangutan). The record is from RNAcentral. Lineage: Eukaryota; Metazoa; Chordata; Mammalia; Primates; Hominidae.